RNAcentral lists this ribosomal RNA (336 nucleotides) under Varanus bengalensis. Its description in RNAcentral is "partial 12S ribosomal RNA". The record is from RNAcentral. Lineage: Eukaryota; Metazoa; Chordata; Lepidosauria; Squamata; Varanidae.
UGCAAGAGAGCAGGUAUCAGGCUCAACAACGUUAGCCCGUCACACCUUGCCCAGCCACAUCCCCACGGAUACACAGCAGUGAUUAACAUUAGGCAAUAAGUACCUUAAACUUGACCUAGCUAAAAUUCCCAUUUGGCCGGCAAAUCUCGUGCCAGCAGCCGCGGUUACACGGGAGGCCACAGAUAAUCUACUAACGGCGUAAAGAGUGACCACGGACUUUCCCUGCCCCGGAUUUUAAAACUCUAUCUCAGAGAUGAAACCCCAAGAUACCAAGAACCCCCUAAAACCCCAAAACAGGCCAUCCCACUCACGAAAAUCAGGAUACUAACUAGGAUU